AACGAACGCUGGCGGCAUGCCUAACACAUGCAAGUCGAACGAGACCUUCGGGUCUAGUGGCGCACGGGUGCGUAACGCGUGGGAACCUGCCCUUAGGUUCGGAAUAACUCCCCGAAAGGGGUGCUAAUACCGGAUAAUGUCUUCGGACCAAAGAUUUAUCGCCUUUGGAUGGGCCCGCGUUGGAUUAGCUAGUUGGUAGGGUAAAAGCCUACCAAGGCGACGAUCCAUAGCUGGUCUGAGAGGAUGAUCAGCCACACUGGGACUGAGACACGGCCCAGACUCCCCCGGGGGGGGGAGGAGGGGGAAAUUGGGGAAAGGGGGAAAGACCGUGAUCCCGAAGCCCCGCGAGAGAGAAAAGGCUUUGGGGGUUAAAAAGCUUUUUCCCGGGGGAAGAUAAACACAACCGGGGGAAAAAACGCCCCGGCUAACCCU
Molecule: ribosomal RNA, 432 nt
Filed under: uncultured bacterium
Lineage: Bacteria
Description: partial 16S ribosomal RNA
Rfam family: Bacterial small subunit ribosomal RNA
Source: RNAcentral